RNAcentral lists this small nuclear RNA (23 nucleotides) under Arabidopsis thaliana (thale cress). Its description in RNAcentral is "snRNA_16468". The record is from RNAcentral. Lineage: Eukaryota; Viridiplantae; Streptophyta; Magnoliopsida; Brassicales; Brassicaceae.
GCGCAAGUGAAAUACCACUACUU